Molecule: small nuclear RNA, 108 nt
Organism: Panthera pardus (leopard)
Lineage: Eukaryota; Metazoa; Chordata; Mammalia; Carnivora; Felidae
Source: Ensembl
ACGCUCGCUUCAGUGGCACAUAUACUAAAAUUGGAACGAUACAGAGAUGAUUAUUAUGGCCCCUGAGCAAGGAUGGCACACAAAUUGCAUGAAGUGUUCCAUAUUUUU